RNAcentral lists this transfer RNA (29 nucleotides) under Abudefduf sexfasciatus (scissortail sergeant). RNAcentral's name for it is "partial tRNA-Thr". Lineage: Eukaryota; Metazoa; Chordata; Actinopteri; Pomacentridae. The record is from RNAcentral.
GCAAUAGUAGCUCAGCGCCAGAGCGCCGG